UGAGUACGAGCUGCUACGGCAGCGAAGUGGAUGAUGUCAAGCUUCCAAGAAAAGCCCUAUACCCGUUAAGGCAUGACGGCCUGUACCCGAAACCGACACAGGUGGGGUGGUAGAGAAUACCGAGGGGCGCGAGAUAACUCUCUCUAAGGAACUCGGCAAAAUGGCCCCGUAACUUCGGGAGAAGGGGUGCCACCGCGAGGUGGUCGCAGUGAAGAGGCCCAGGCGACUGUUUACCAAAAACACAGGUCUCCGCUAAGUCGCAAGACGAUGUAUGGGGGCUGACGCCUGCCCAGUGCCGGAAGGUUAAGGAAGCCGGUCAGCGUAAGCGAAGCUGGCGACUGAAGCCCCGGUGAACGGCGGCCGUAACUAUAACGGUCCUAAGGUAGCGAAAUUCCUUGUCGGGUAAGUUCCGACCCGCACGAAAGGCGUAACGAUCUGGGCGCUGUCUCGGAGAGAGGCUCGGCGAAAUAGAAUUGUCUGUGAAGAUGCGGACUACGUGCACCCGGACAGAAAGACCCUAUGAAGCUUUACUGUAGCUUGGUAUUGUGCUCGGGCUCUGAAUGCGCAGGAUAGGUGGGAGGCUUUGAUCCAUUGCUUGUGGGUGAUGGUGAGCCACUGGUGAGAUACCACUCUUUCAGAGCUAGGGUUCUAACGGUCACCCGUUAUCCGGGGACCGGACAGUAUCAGGUGGGCAGUUUGACUGGGGCGGUCGCCUCCUAAAAGGUAACGGAGGCGCGCAAAGGUUCCCUCAGGCUGGUUGGAAAUCAGCCGACGAGUGCAAAGGCAGAAGGGAGCUUGACUGUGAGACCAACAAGUCGAACAGGGACGAAAGUCGGCCUUAGUGAUCCGACGGUUCUGAGUGGAAGGGCCGUCGCUCAACGGAUAAAAGUUACUCUAGGAUAACAGGCUGAUCUCCCCCAAGAGUUCGCAUCGACGGGGAGGUUUGGCACCUCGAUGUCGGCUCAUCGCAACCUGGGGCUGAAGUCGGUCCCAAGGGUUGGGCUGUUCGCCCAUUAAAGCGGUACGCGAGCUGGGUUCAGAACGUCGUGAGACUGUUCGGUCCAUAUCCGGUGCAUGCGCAGGAACAUUGAGAGGAUUUCUCCCUAGUACGAGAGGACCGGGAGGAACGCACCUCUGGUGUACCAGUUAUCGUGCCAACGGUAAACGCUGGGUAGCCAUGUGCGGAGCGGAUAACCGCUGAAAGCAUCUAAGUGGGAAGCCCACCUCAAGAUGAGUGUUCCCAUGGCAU
Molecule: ribosomal RNA, 1249 nt
Filed under: metagenome
Description: bacterial LSU rRNA
Rfam family: Bacterial large subunit ribosomal RNA
Source: RNAcentral